CCAUAGCUGGACGUGGUAGUUUUAGCCUUAAACUAAUCAUGGUAAAUUUUCAUGCCCUUUUGUAUGUAGGUUCUCUCCAUAAAUGAAGAAGGGCUAAGGCGAUGCGAAGAGAAUACAAAAGUCUUUGGUCGGCCUAUCAGCUCAUGGACCUGCCUGGUGGACUUGGAAGGGCUGAACAUGCGCCACUUGUGGAGACCUGGUGUGAAAGCGCUGCUGCGGAUCAUCGAGGUGGUGGAGGCCAACUACCCUGAGACACUGGGCCGCCUUCUCAUCCUGCGGGCGCCCAGGGUAUUUCCUGUGCUCUGGACGCUGGUUAGUCCGUUCAUUGAUGACAACACCAGAAGGAAGUUCCUCAUUUAUGCAGGAAAUGACUACCAGGGUCCUGGAGGCCUGCUGGAUUACAUUGACAAAGAGAUUAUUCCAGAUUUCCUGAGUGGGGAGUGCAUG
This 447-nucleotide small RNA is filed under the name Pan troglodytes (chimpanzee). RNAcentral's name for it is "retained intron". The record is from RNAcentral. Lineage: Eukaryota; Metazoa; Chordata; Mammalia; Primates; Hominidae.